Molecule: ribosomal RNA, 376 nt
Filed under: uncultured Bacteroides sp.
Lineage: Bacteria; Pseudomonadati; Bacteroidota; Bacteroidia; Bacteroidales; Bacteroidaceae
Description: bacterial SSU rRNA
Rfam family: Bacterial small subunit ribosomal RNA
Source: RNAcentral
GCUCAGGAUGAACGCUAGCUACAGGCUUAACACAUGCAAGUCGAGGGGUAGCAGGGUAGCAAUACCGCUGACGACCGGCGCACGGGUGAGUAACACGUAUCCAACCUACCGUCUACUCGGGGAUAGCCUUUCGAAAGAAAGAUUAAUACCCGAUAGUAUAAAGAGUUCGCAUGUUCUCUUUAUUAAAGGAUUCCGGUAAACGAUGGGGAUGCGUUCCAUUAGAUUGUUGGCGGGGUAACGGCCCACCAAGUCUUCGAUGGAUAGGGGUUCUGAGAGGAAGGUCCCCCACAUUGGAACUGAGACACGGUCCAAACUCCUACGGGAGGCAGCAGUGAGGAAUAUUGGUCAAUGGGCGCUAGCCUGAACCAGCCAAGUA